UCGAGCGAAGCACCUUGACGGAUUUCUUCGGAUUGAAGCCUUGGUGACUGAGCGGCGGACGGGUGAGUAACGCGUGGGUAACCUGCCUCAUACAGGGGGAUAACAGUUGGAAACGGCUGCUAAUACCGCAUAAGCGCACAGUACCGCAUGGUACGGUGUGAAAAACUCCGGUGGUAUGAGAUGGACCCGCGUCUGAUUAGGUAGUUGGUGGGGUAACGGCCUACCAAGCCGACGAUCAGUAGCCGACCUGAGAGGGCGACCGGCCACAUUGGGACUGAGACACGGCCCAAACUCCUACGGGAGGCAGCAGUGGGGAAUAUUGCACAAUGGGGGAAACCCUGAUGCAGCGACGCCGCGUGAGCGAUGAAGUAUUUCGGUAUGUAAAGCUCUAUCAGCAGGGAAGAAAAUGACGGUACCUGACUAAGAAGCCCCGGCUAACUACGUGCCAGCAGCCGCGGUAAUACGUAGGGGGCAAGCGUUAUCCGGAUUUACUGGGUGUAAAGGGAGCGUAGACGGCAUGGCAAGCCAGAUGUGAAAGCCCGGGGCUCAACCCCGGGACUGCAUUUGGAACUGUCAGGCUAGAGUGUCGGAGAGGAAAGCGGAAUUCCUAGUGUAGCGGUGAAAUGCGUAGAUAUUAGGAGGAACACCAGUGGCGAAGGCGGCUUUCUGGACGAUGACUG
Molecule: ribosomal RNA, 680 nt
Filed under: uncultured Lachnospiraceae bacterium
Lineage: Bacteria; Bacillati; Bacillota; Clostridia; Lachnospirales; Lachnospiraceae
Description: bacterial SSU rRNA
Rfam family: Bacterial small subunit ribosomal RNA
Source: RNAcentral